AGAGUUUGAUCAUGGCUCAGGAUGAACGCUAGCUACAGGCUUAACACAUGCAAUCGAGGGGAAACGACAUCGAAAGCUGCUUUUGAUGGGCGUCGACCGGCGCACGGGUGAGUAACGCGUAUCCAACCUGCCCACCACUUGGGGAUAACCUUGCGAAAGUAAGACUAAUACCCAAUGAUAUCUCUAGAAGACAUCUGAAAGAGAUUAAAGAUUUAUCGGUGAUGGAUGGGGAUGCGUCUGAUUAGCUUGUUGGCGGGUAACGGCCACCAAGGCGACGAUCAGUAGGGUUCUGAGAGGAAGGUCCCCACAUUGGAACUGAGACACGGUCCAAACUCCUACGGGAGGCA
Molecule: ribosomal RNA, 347 nt
Filed under: uncultured bacterium
Lineage: Bacteria
Description: bacterial SSU rRNA
Rfam family: Bacterial small subunit ribosomal RNA
Source: RNAcentral